AGCCUUAUAUUCAUAUAAAUUAUUAUAGAAUACAAUUCUGUGGGAGUAGCUGAAACGCUGCUAACGCUU
This 69-nucleotide transfer RNA is filed under the name Schultesia lampyridiformis. RNAcentral describes it as "tRNA-Cys". The record is from RNAcentral. Lineage: Eukaryota; Metazoa; Arthropoda; Insecta; Blattodea; Blaberidae.